AUUGAACGCUGGCGGAAUGCUUUACACAUGCAAGUCGAGCGGCAGCGCGGGGCAACCUGGCGGCGAGCGGCGAACGGGUGAGUAAUGUAUCGGAACGUGUCCUUGAGUGGGGGAUAGCCCGGUGAAAACCGGAUUAAUACCGCAUACGCAGGAGACUGGAAAGCGGGGGAUCGCAAGACCUCGCGCUGGAGGAGCGGCCGAUAUCAGAUUAGCUAGUUGGUGGGGUAAAGGCCCACCAAGGCGACGAUCUGUAGCUGGUCUGAGAGGACGACCAGCCACACUGGAACUGAGACACGGUCCAGACUCCUACGGGAGGCAGCAGUGGGGAAUUUUGGACAAUGGGCGCAAGCCUGAUCCAGCAAUGCCGCGUGCAGGAUGAAGGCCUUCGGGUUGUAAACUGCUUUUGUACGGAACGAAACGGCCCUUUCUAAUACAGGGGGCUAAUGACGGUACCGUAAGAAUAAGCACCGGCUAACUACGUGCCAGCAGCCGCCGUAA
RNAcentral lists this ribosomal RNA (498 nucleotides) under uncultured bacterium. Its description in RNAcentral is "partial 16S ribosomal RNA". It matches the Rfam family "Bacterial small subunit ribosomal RNA", at positions 29 to 523 of the family's 1533-position model. The record is from RNAcentral.